Molecule: ribosomal RNA, 405 nt
Filed under: uncultured bacterium
Lineage: Bacteria
Description: bacterial SSU rRNA
Rfam family: Bacterial small subunit ribosomal RNA
Source: RNAcentral
AAUGGGCGCGAGCCUGACCCAGCCAUGCCGCGUGCAGGAAGACGGCCUUAUGGGUUGUAAGCUGCUUUUGUACAGGGAUAAACCUACCCUCGUGAGGGUAGCUGAAGGUACUGUACGAAUAAGCACCGGCUAACUCCGUGCCAGCAGCCGCGGUAAUACGGAGGGUGCAAGCGUUAUCCGGAUUUAUUGGGUUUAAAGGGUCCGUAGGCGGAUGCGUAAGUCAGUGGUGAAAUCUCACAGCUCAACUGUGAAACUGCCAUUGAUACUGCGUGUCUUGAGUGAGGUUGAAGUAGCUGGAAUAAGUAGUGUAGCGGUGAAAUGCAUAGAUAUUACUUAGAACACCAAUUGCGGAGGCAGGUUACUAAGUCUCAACUGACGCUGAUGGACGAAAGCGUGGGGAGCGAA